GACGAACGCUGGCGGCGUGCUUAACACAUGCAAGUCGAACGGUGAAGGUGGAGCUUGCUCCGCCGGAUCAGUGGCGAACGGGUGAGUAACACGUGGGCAACCUGCCCCUCACUUCGGGAUAACUCCGGGAAACCGGGGCUAAUACCGGAUACGACCUCCUUGGGCAUCCUUGGAGGUGGAAAGUUUUUCGGUGAGGGAUGGGCCCGCGGCCUAUCAGCUUGUUGGUGAGGUAGUGGCUCACCAAGGCGACGACGGGUAGCCGGCCUGAGAGGGCGACCGGCCACACUGGGACUGAGACACGGCCCAGACUCCUACGGGAGGCAGCAGUGGGGAAUAUUGCGCAAUGGGCGAAAGCCUGACGCAGCAACGCCGCGUGCGGGAUGAAGGCCUUCGGGUUGUAAACCGCUUUCAGCAGGGAAGAAGCCGCAAGGUGACGGUACCUGCAGAAGAAGCACCGGCUAACUACGUGCCAGCAGCCGCCGCAG
RNAcentral lists this ribosomal RNA (485 nucleotides) under uncultured bacterium. RNAcentral describes it as "partial 16S ribosomal RNA". It matches the Rfam family "Bacterial small subunit ribosomal RNA", at positions 28 to 523 of the family's 1533-position model. The record is from RNAcentral.